This 304-nucleotide ribosomal RNA is filed under the name uncultured bacterium. Its description in RNAcentral is "partial 16S ribosomal RNA". It matches the Rfam family "Bacterial small subunit ribosomal RNA", at positions 506 to 807 of the family's 1533-position model. The record is from RNAcentral.
CAGCAGCAGCCACGGGAAUACGAAGGGGGCUAGCGUUGUUCGGAAUUACUGGGCGUAAAGCGCACGUAGGCGGACAUUUAAGUCAGGGGUGAAAUCCCGGGGCUCAACCCCGGAACUGCCUUUGAUACUGGGUGUCUAGAGUAUGGAAGAGGUGAGUGGAAUUCCGAGUGUAGAGGUGAAAUUCGUAGAUAUUCGGAGGAACACCAGUGGCGAAGGCGGCUCACUGGUCCAUUACUGACGCUGAGGUGCGAAAGCGUGGGGAGCAAACAGGAUUAGAUACCCCAGUAGUCCCUGUCUCUUAUAC